GCUGAAGACAUCAGGAUCCAUCAGCCUGCACCUCAGACACCCCAGGGUCAGGAAUGGACAGGUUGGUUUGAUGGUAUGAAAACACAGAUAAAGGACACGGGUGAGUAUAAGGGACAAGGGUCUUCUUAACAAGGUAUGGUUCAGCCUUAGAAGUCAAGAGGGCUGUACUCAAACCCAGUACCAUCAGGAGACAUGCUUGGGCUCUGGGGUGUUGUUCUGUUAUGGGUUGAAUUGUGCUCCUGAAGGUGCCUGUGUUGAUAUUCAACUCCCUGGUACCUCAGAAUGGGAGUGUACUUGGAGACUGCGACUUUAGAGUGGAGAUUAAGCUAGAACUGGGGCUUGGGAGAGCCUCCAUCUAAUCUUCACAGUGUCCUUAUGAGACCAGGAGAAGUGGACAGUGGAUACUUGGAAUCACAACAGCUCUCCAUGUGUAGCGGAGCCAAGAGGAUUGCGGUCUAUAAGGAAGAGUUUACAGAGAGGGCAGCACUUAGGCCCGGAGAAGAGUCUCUACAAAGGUGUGAGCUGAAUUCAUGGAAACCUACAGGCAAGGGCGAGGGAUUCUCCAGGUUUGCCAAUGCCUGAGGCCAGGCUCACUGGAGCUGCCAGGAUCCGGACCUCCGAAGGAACCCUGCUCUGCCCUCCCCCUCUCCUCCACACCAGAAGACCCCGGACCAGUCACUGCCUGAGUGCCAACUCAGAGCUGAGCCUGCCAGGAUUUUCUGAAGUUUCCUGGGUGUCUGCCUUCCCGUCUGUUGAGUGAAGAAGUGCUUCUGUGCCCAACACUGACCACAGCCAGAACGCAGAGGGAAGAGGACAGGAUUUGCUAGAAAUGGGCAAAGGCCUGUGUCUGCAGGUGAAGCACCACGGGAUGCGGCUCAGGCUGACCAGCACCUCAGGCUGACCAGCAUCCUUGCCACUCAGAGGUCCCAGGAGCCUCCAGCAAGCCUGCCACAGCCAUACAGUUUAUUAAGAUACAUCAGGUUUGACCAGCCAAGACCCCCUGAA
Molecule: long non-coding RNA, 1005 nt
Organism: Peromyscus leucopus (white-footed mouse)
Lineage: Eukaryota; Metazoa; Chordata; Mammalia; Rodentia; Cricetidae
Exons: 5
Source: RefSeq, a predicted model, not a curated record